This 468-nucleotide ribosomal RNA is filed under the name uncultured bacterium. RNAcentral's name for it is "partial 16S ribosomal RNA". It matches the Rfam family "Bacterial small subunit ribosomal RNA", at positions 28 to 507 of the family's 1533-position model. The record is from RNAcentral.
GACGAACGCUGGCGGCGUGCUUAACACAUGCAAGUCGAACGGAAAGGCCCUGCUUUUGUGGGGUGCUCGAGUGGCGAACGGGUGAGUAACACGUGAGUAACCUGCCCUUGACUUUGGGAUAACUUCAGGAAACUGGGGCUAAUACCGGAUAGGAGCUCCUGCUGCAGGGUGGGGGGUGGAAAGUUUCGGCGGUUGGGGAUGGACGCGCGGCUUAUCAGCUUGUUGGUGGGGUAGUGGCUUACCAAGGCUUUGACGGGUAGCCGGCCUGAGAGGGUGGCCGGCCACCUGGCUACUGCGGUAGGCCCCAGUGUCCAACGGUGGGCAACGGGCGGAAGCCUGGCCCAGUGGUCCGGCGCGUGUGCCGGCAGCCCCCCGUUCGGAAUGCCGUCUUUUGGGUUGAAAACCGCUGCCGCUUGUUACGAAGCUGUUGUGACGGUAAUGGAAAAAGAAGCACCGGCUAACUUCGUG